Formosa sp. Hel1_31_208 is the source of this 126-nucleotide regulatory RNA element. It matches the Rfam family "Bacteroidete tryptophan peptide leader RNA". The record is from Rfam. Lineage: Bacteria; Pseudomonadati; Bacteroidota; Flavobacteriia; Flavobacteriales; Flavobacteriaceae.
AUUUGAACUUUAUAAUUCAAAUGAACACAAAUUUAAAUCAUACUUGGUGGUGGUCUUCUCGAAACUCAAACGUCGUGAACUAAUCCUAUAGGUAUAUUUAAAGUAAACAUAUCAAAAAGGCUUGUC